AACGUAGGAAGCGAGCGUUAUCCGGAUUUACUGGGCGUAAAGCGCAUGCAGGCGGUUUGGAAAGUUGGAUGUGAAAGCUCCUGGCUUAACUGGGAGAGGUCGUUCAAUACUUCCAGACUAGAGGAUGUGAGAGGAAAGUGGAAUUCCGAGUGUAGUGGUGAAAUGCGUAGAUAUUCGGAGGAACACCAGUGGCGAAAGCGGCUUUCUAGCACAUAUCUGACGCUCAUAUGCGAAAGCUAGGGUAGCAAACGGG
RNAcentral lists this ribosomal RNA (253 nucleotides) under uncultured bacterium. RNAcentral describes it as "partial 16S ribosomal RNA". It matches the Rfam family "Bacterial small subunit ribosomal RNA", at positions 524 to 776 of the family's 1533-position model. The record is from RNAcentral.